Molecule: small nuclear RNA, 99 nt
Filed under: Dermacentor silvarum
Lineage: Eukaryota; Metazoa; Arthropoda; Arachnida; Ixodida; Ixodidae
Source: RNAcentral
GUCUUCCAAAGUACAUAUACUAAAAUUGGAACGAUACAGAGAAGAUUAGCAUGGCCCCUGCGCAAGGAUGACACGCAAAAUCGUACUUCCAAAAUUGGA